UCUUUGACCUAAAGGUCUUAUUUACCACUUCUACCAGAUCAUAAAAUCCCUUCAAAGAAGUGUAUUAACUAUGCUUUGUGAGGUUAACUCUCAACUAAAAAUAUUUGUUUUCAGUUAUAUUUAAGUUGAUUCACUAAAAUAUCUGACUUGGGGGCUUUUGUAUUACAAAGUUCACCAUGGAAUUUCUUGAAGCUAUGCCGGUCACGUUCAAGGAGAUUGCUCCAAAUCAUAAUAUUCCAGAGAAAUGGAAAGAAAUUGUACUUAACACAGGUGGUACUCACAGUACUUUACAAGACAUCAAAUUACCGCAAAAAGCCGGCGGUUACUGGUAUAAGGAUUCAACGAAGUUCUACACCAGGAAUCGCUUUAUUUACUGGCAAACUACAUCAGAUGCAAUUGAGAUAUCGGAAGCUUCACUAGAUUUAAAUCUCUCUUCUGCAAACUUGAGAUGUAAAGUAGCUCCAGGAACUCCUCCACUGAGUAAUAUUACUGUUUAUGAACGCAGUAGUACAAACAAUGUUGUUAUAUUAGCUGCUACAGUUUCGUCAGUACAUAGACUAGUUUUUCCACAUCCUUCAAUAUUAGAUAAAAAGUGUACAUAUGGAUCAAUGAGCAGUACAUCACCUUCUAUAUGUCAUGAUACAUCUUCUAUAAACAACCCUAAUAAUUAUUUUAUUUUAAAUCAGUAUUCUAAUGCCACCACUGGAGUAGCCCAUACAUGUUCUUCACUGCUUCGUGAAAAUGGUGAAGCUAUAUUUGCACUUGCAUUUGGACAUGAAGGUGAGGGCAGUUUGUUACUUAUAAAACUGCCAGUAACUGGAGCAGCAGUCACUACUGUAUUAAAGAGAGAAUCAACUGUACCCAGUUUCUUAUCAGGAAUUACAGGAGCUCUCAGAGGCAAGACUACUGAUGGAGUUGAAACUUAUGGUGUGGUAAUUACAAAAAAUGUAAUUGUGGCUGUGUGUGGUGAUGCGUGUCUUAGAGCAUGGCCCAUUGAUGAUGGAGGUGCACCAAUUUCUGUGUCUGCCCCACUUUCACAAACAAACGUGAGACCGAAGCCACCACCACAUGGUCACAUGCUACAGAAAACAAUUGGAUUGGAUGGCAGUGUCAUUUUAGUUGCAUAUUUAUCUUUUCCAAAUGAAUGUGAAUUUGUUGUGAUGAAGAUGCAUGAUCCCGUAGGGGGAUUUAUAAAGUUUUCACAUAUCUGCCGAAUAUUUGGUCCUCAGUUGGAUCUUUUAGAUUAUAAAAUUGGUUAUGGAGACAGCAAUCAUGUCAUUUGGGCACUGUGGAGUCAACCCGAUGGCGAUACCAUGAUGACAUGUAGUUCCCUGGGCGCCGAAGUGUCCUGGCAGGCAGUAGCGGGCCGCGAGCCUCCCCCGCCCUUGCCGCAACUAUCAAAUCACAACCAGUACCGCGAUAGACUCCUUGCGCCGGGCCUAUUUCCACAUUCGGUCAUCAGAAAAGCUCUGGUGAUCUAUGCGCGCACGUGGUGCGGCGGGGGCGCGGGGGGCGCGGCGGAGGAGGAGCUGGGCGAGGCGGCGGUGUCCGCCGUGCUGGCCCGCCUCCGCCUGCAUGCGGCGCGCACCGCCUCCACAGAUCAAACACAUCUUAUGCACAAAUGCUGGUCAGAUUUGUACAGCUGGUGCAUGCAGUAUAUGGAAGGGUUACAGAAACCUCUUGGAUUGAUGGUGUCAGAAAAUGGCACGGACAUAGAGAGCGGAGGGUGGUGUGCAGUUGUGCGCCGCGCGGGGGUGUCUCUAGUCUGUGAACUCGAACCGCUAGAACGCAUGAUGUUGUCACCUGAAGAUACACUGGAAUCUGGAACUGGCGUGUGGCUGGGCGCGCUGUCGGCGGCGGCGCGGCGCGUGGUGGCGGCGGGCGCGUGCUGGGAGCGGGCCGCCUCGCCGAGCCGCGCGCACCAGCUCGAGCGACAACUGUUCGCAGCCGCCGCGCCGCAACACCGCCUGCUUCCUAGACUGCUGCAUCUGCUGCACUCGCCGCCUAUCUUAACACCCCAGCAAAUCAAUGAACUUAGUGCAAUUUUGGAGCCGAUCAGAGAUCUCCAAAGUGCCGUACUGGAACUGAACGAUGCCCUCAGAUUGGAUGUUCCAGACAUCGAAAUGUCUAGAAGUGAAGAUGAUGAAGACGGUGAAUAUGAAAGUUUAUUUGCCAGCGAUCUCGGAGUAGCCGUGGUCACCGAGGCCAUUAGGCAAAUGGCUGAAAUGAGAUGCCGCGUGGUGCGAGGCGCGCUGGCGGCGCUGGGCGUGUGUCGCGGGGCGGGCGCGGUUCCGGGCGCCGGACACUGCGCCGUGCACUGGCAGGCCUACCGCGCGCUUCUAUGGCUGCACGGCGCGCCGCCACAUGCCGCCACGAAUUCGAAUUCGUCGGAAGCGUUCCGGUUGAAGCUGAGUGCGCUAGGCGGCGCGGCAGUGAGUGCGGGCGCGGGCGGCGCGGGCGUGGUGCGGGUAUACGCGCGGGGGCCGGGGGGCGCCCGGGCGCGCGCGCACCUGGCCGCCGCACGGACGCACACCGCCUGGCAACACGCGCUGCCGCACUUCCUCUACCAUCUCGCGCAUCAACUUUGGGCAGUUAGCGGCGGCUUCGAUUUUGGUUGGUGGUUAGCAAGAAUCAACCAGCCACGACUCGUGCAGACCUACGUCAAUAUGCUGGAGCCCUGGUGUGAAUGGAAUGCGUGCUCGCGUCAGUUUAUAUUGGGGUUGGCCCUGCUAGACCUGGAAGACACGGAGGCGGCGUACACGGCGUUCUGCAAGGCAGCCAAAGGUGUUAGCACGGAGCCUUUCCUGCGACACCUCGUGGCCGAGCCGGACGCGCACCUCACUCAGCACCGAGCCCUCGUGCUGUACUACAUGAAGGUUAUAAAAUUGUUCGAGAUUCACGACGAAGGCGCUUGCGUUGUGCGUCUCGCGGAAACCGCCAUUAGCAUCGCUGACAAAGAUGAUCCCAAUUUGUCGAUGUUCCAGUGGGUGGUGUUCAAAUGGCACCUGUCGGGCGGGCGCACGUCCCGCGCGCUGACCGCCGCCGCCGCCAACCCGGCGCCGCACGCCCGCGCCGCCGCUGCGGCCGCCCUGCUCACUACGCUCGGCAGUCGCGGCGAGCUGGGCGCGCUGGUGCAGUGCGCGACGAUGGCCGAGGAGGCGGAGCGAGCCGCCGCCGCGCGCGCCGCACUGCACGACGCGCACACACACAACCCUUAUUACGACUUCCUCUACGCGCUGCAUCUCUCCAGACACCACUACAGAAAAGCGGCCGCGGUGAUGUACGAGCGCGCGGCUCGGUGCGCGGCGGAGGGCGGCGGCGUGGCGGUGCGGCGUCGGUACCUCGCCGCGGCGCUCACCGCGCUGCGCAUGGCGCGUCCCGACCACGCCUUCAUAGCGCGACCCGCCACGCAUCUAGACUCCAAACUACAGGUAAUCGGUCCCGAAGAAUUAGCAGCGGAAUUACGUGAAGAAGUCCCGGAUUCCCAAGACCCAGUAAAACAAGCUCUGCUUAACAGUGAAAACAUAAACUUCGACCGUCUGUAUACAACCUUGAAAGAUGCAAAUGCAGAUACCUUGCUCACAGUAACUAAAAGAGCAAUAAGUACAGGACAGUUUCUACCGCGGUGGUUUUUGCAUAGAUAUUUGGAGGUUGACGGAGCGGGCUGCGUGCGUGCGUUACUGAGCGGAGGGCGCGCGGGCGAGGCGGGGGCGGCGUGGUGCGCGCUGGCACGAGCCUCGCUGGCCACACUGCAGCCGCGCGGACCGCCCGCUAUGGCGCACCUCUCGCUAGCUGAUUUAUUACUCGCAGAGCUCGCCGACCAUCAACAACCAUACGCCAAACAGGUACACGACGAGAUAGAUUCGCUGGUAAAGGAAUAUACUCAAGUUAUAAUUCGCACAUCUGAAGAUAUGAAAUUAGUAUAAACCUAUUAAUGUAUAAAAUAAAUGGAUUUUGUAUUUGUUAAAAUAAAAUAAUUUUGCUGCAAAAAAUUAAUAAUAAUACCUGAUUUAAUUAUAUAUAGUAUAAUUAUACCAUAAUAUUUCUUGAACGUCUUAUAUUUAAUUUUCUUACAUCUAUGAAAUUAAAAUAAAAAAAGAAUAUUUUAAACAAAGUUUUAUUAACGAGAAUUCUGUGACUGACCAAAACCAUUCUUUAUUCUUACACACUAACUACUUACUACUAAUAUUGAAUCACAGUUUAAUUAAUGAAGAGUAGCUUUGAAAUUAAUUAGAAAACAUACCAAAUGUACUAAUUUUCCAUAUUGACAAUGAUGAUUGAAAUUGAUUGAAAAAUAAGUAAAGUGAAAAAUAAGUAUUGAAUGUAAGUAGUUAAACAUAAAUAAAUAACGUUGACAAAAUUAGUUCAAAAGAAAACAAGAGAAUUUGAUUUAAACUAACAAUUAAUUAUAAUAAGUGCAAUAAAGUAUAAAGGUAACAUUUUUGUCAUGGGAAUUACAAUUUUUGACAAGUUAAUUUUUAACAAUAUGGUACUGUAAUUAUUAACCUAACAAUAAAUGUAGAUUUAAUAAUGACUAGAUGUAGAGGAUGUCUAAUUUUUGGUUUACUUUCACCUUCAAGUGUACCAGUUCACUGUUGCUUUUGAAGCAAGACUAACUAAUGCCUCACCUAUACGUGGUAAAGGUCAUUCAUGGACAACAAGUGGGUCAAAGAUCAGUCAAUCCGCUGCCUACAACUCUAGACUGAUUUCCAACCUUAUUCUAAAAAGAUAAUUCGUACUUCUAAGAUAUUAAUUUUUUGGUGAAGAAUUUGGCUAUUGUAUAUUUGUUUCGCCCAAAAAAAUCUUUAUAAUUGGUAGGAGCCAUUUAGGAGGCAACAUAUCUGUGCUCUCUAUCCGACAUAAAAUUUCAACCUAUAUCGUUAUAGUUAUAAUAUGUAGGAAUAAUUUGGUUUAAUCAUGGCCAGUGGCCACACCGACCUGACAGAUGACAGGUGGCGCGUGAACUCUAUAGUCUGUCUUAUUACGAUUAAUUAUAAAGAAAGAAAGACUUAAAUUUUUCGUGAGUUGAUGACUAAAUAAAAAAAAAGAAAUAACAGAAAGACGUAUUAAAAAUAAAAUUCAACAAAUUCGGUUAAUUCAUUGUGCACCGCUGUUCUACAAAUUUUUGGGGGCCCGUCCGGGAUCGAGAUCGACAUCAAAAUCUGUGAUCGGUGUACAAAAGUUGCGAACGAAAACUACGCACGCUGGAAAAACUGAGAUUAUUCACUUUCCAAAUUUCAUCUCAAGACCUUUACAAAGAAUUCAAUGAAUAGUAAAAUGCCUCGGAGGGUGGUUAUGGCAGACGAAGAAUGCUUUGCCGAACCUGCUCCACAAUUUCCUUCUGCGAAUUAAAAAAUCUAUGGAUGCAUUUGACGAUGCAUACGGCGUGGAUUAAGGAUUUCGAAGAUAUGGCUAAUCUCAUGCAAUGGACGGACAUUAAAAAAUUGAUCUACGCAAAAAGGCUUUUGAAGGGGACAGCAAAACUGUUCCUCAGAUUUUUGACUGGCACGACUACAUGGGAACACUUGAUAACGGGAUUAAAAGAAUUUGGACUACAUACAGCGCACCCAUUCGCAAGACCAUAUCAAAUAGGAAGAUGAAACCAGGUGAAACAUAUAAACAAUAUUUUAUGCAACUUAAAGAAGUCCCAGUACUCGGAAAGAUUAAAGAUAAGCCCUGAUGGAAUACAUCAUCAAUGAUAUUAGGGAUACCAUGACAUGAAAUGAAUAAAACUAUACUGUAUGGGGCUUCCAACAUCAAAGAAUUUAGGAAAAAAACUUGAUUUAUAUGCUGAAAUAAAGAAGAAAUGUCGAACGUCAAAAAGAACUUAUAAUCAAUCAACAACAUUCAAACCUACAGCAUCUGGAUGGAAGAAAGCAUUAACUAAGAUGAGAUGCUUCAACUGCAGCGACCUAGAUUAUGAAUCUUUCUAGCUGCUCUAAAGGAAUAAAGUGCUUCCGCUGUAAUGACUUUGGACAUAAGACAACUGACUAUCCCAAAAAUAUAAAGAAGACUCUCGAAAUAAAAUGCAACAAGGAGAAUGAUCCCGGAGAAUAACCCGUUAUGAUCAACAAUGUACCUAAUGGUGAAAUAACUGAUUGACGCUGGCAAUGGUGUGAACUAACGAAUGAAACUACAUUUACUAAAAUACAUGGCGACACUUGUAACUACCACCCUGAUUUAGUACUGUGAACUACUCCUACAUAUACACUUACACACAACUACAUACACCACACUUUUACAUUUUAUUCCGAAACAAAUUUCAGCCGUGUCGAUGCGCACCAGUCCACUACAUUGGACACACGCACCGAAAACCGAUUUGCUGUGACGUCAGGCCGAUACCUCGUGGUCCGGAGAUGAUUGACUGGCUCCAACGUCAUGGCGAAAAUGUGGAUAAUACUUUAUUAAAAGUACAAUUAGUGAAUAUUUUAAAAUCGAAAAAAAAACCCCUAAAAUAUAUAUUACCGACGAAAUAGCUGCCGAAUGUGGUCCUUGGGUUCUUCGACUUCCGCCGUAUCAUUGCCAGCACAAAAUGCUAUAGAACUAAUAUGGCUACGUCAAAGGACACGCCGCGCCGCUUGAAACAAUACCCAUCCCCUUUUACGGCAAACAAGAUGUUAGAUUUAUUAAAAAAUGCAUGUGCGGAAGUAACCGCCGAACACUGGGAAAAAUUGUGAGAAGAACCCAAAACAUUAUAGCGUCGUUAACAGUGACGAUUCAUCAGAUUUUGAUUAAAAUAAAUAAAUAAAGAAUCAACAUAAUAUAAUUACAUCUUGUAGUGAAAUGUAAUAUUAGUUAAAAAAAAUGUACAAAAUUAUCCGGCUUUGUAAAAAAAUAUGGGGCCUGUUAUCGUUUUACGUUUAUCGAUCCCUAUCAGUUACUCUGACUCUACUAUGACCUUGUACCUUGUGUAUGUAAGCGUCAUAUUUUUAUUAAUUAAUGUAAAAAGACGCUCGUUUAAGUUUCCACAGGAGUUGUCAUCCAGAAAAUAAAUAAAUGGAGAUAGUAUAAAUUGUUACUUCUCUAACGUGUUCAAUAAAUAAUUUUACUAAACUAUAGCUAAUGCGAAGACUGGCACAGAAUGCAUAAUGACGGUCGUAUGAUUAGAUUGUUGUUGGAAUGAUGUCAGAUCUAUGUAAGAUUUGGACAGUAACUUUAUAAAGUAAUAACUAUUGCAUAAACAUUUCGUUUUUGUUAAUCUUACACCGUUAGCAUCUACUUCAUAUACAACAAUAUCCAUAUCACUGGGGGGUCUAGAUGGUGAUUACGUCAGCAGUAGUUAUUUCCUAUUUUUUUACACAUAUUGGCAACCUACACGUUGUCUAUGCUUGAAAACGAAACACAUUUUCGGGGAUUCCCAUAAAUAAUGAAUAUGUUUAAGUAAUCGCUUGGAACAGAGUAGGGGAAUUAUCGCGCGCUAUUCACUUGUCUAAAUUUCUUCCGUCAAUCUGUUUCGUUUCGGUACGAUUGGCAAUUUGACAUGUUGUAAGUAAAGGAAGAUAAUGUUUGUGUUACUGUUGAUCUAAUUUCGCCAAAGUUGAAUUGUUUAAGAUGUCAUUUUAAAUAGACAAAUCCAAGCUAUACCAAAAAUUGUUUGAAAGUUUUAAAAAAUCUCAUACAAAUACAAAUGUACAAAAGUUAGUUAACGAAGUAUGGCGUAAUUAUAAGGUAUAAGCAAAGUCCGCCAAGAAACUUGAUAUUAUUGUCUCUAAGAGAAUUGAGGAAGAAUUGCAAGCAGCCUAAAUAAACUAGCGUAAAUCUAAUCUACUACGUUUUUUUCCAAGGUGAGUGAUGAAAGCAUUUUAAGUAUAAGUACUUACUGUAAAUAUUACAACUACACUAGAAAUGUUAGAAAUUGAAAAUUGUUGCAUUGUGUAGUUAAUUUUAGAAAAGUCGUCGUGGCCUAAAGGAUAAAACGUCCGGUGAUUCGUAUCUGCGAUGCAACGGUGUUCGAAUCCCGCAGGCGGGUACCAAUUUUUCUAAUGAAAUGCGUACUUGACAAAUGUUUAUUAUAUGUGUAAUAAAAAUCAAACCCGCAAAAUUAUAAUUUGCGUAAUUACUGUUUUUUUUUUAUUGCCCUUGUAGGCAGACGAGCAUACGGCCCACCUGAUGGUGAGUGGUUACCGUCGCCCAUGGACUUCAGCAAUGCCAGGGGCAGAUCCAAGCCGCUGCCUACAAAGGGUGGUAGGACCUCUUGUGAGUCCGCACGGGCUAAUACGCAUGAAGUUAAUAAACAAAUCAUUAAGUUGCGUGAAGAAUUAAAAACAGCGAAACAGUCAUUAAACAGGAAGAUUCAAAACGCAGUUGCCCAGAAGAAACAGAUGGUAAGAAAAGAAGUUAGAAGAUAUUUGUGAUGAAAAUCCAGAAAUAAAAAAAACUGUCCCUGAGGGAUUCAGUGGGGCGUCCUAAAACGAUCAACCAUUGCUAUUGAAAACAAUUGCGGAUAAUGCUUUAUUUGGGAGUGUAGUAGAUGAUAGAAGACGAACGGAAUCUAUUCGCAGUGUAAAAACUCUUGAUGAACUCACACAAGAAUUACGUAAAAUAGGAUUGGACAUGAGUCGAAGUGGGACAUAUCUUCGUUUGAUUCCCAGAAAAUCUUAAUUCUGCAGAGGGACGAAGAGGUAAUGUAUUGACAGUCCCUGUUAAGCUCAAUCGGGCUCAGGCUGAUCACCACAAAAGCCACUUAGAUAGCAAUUUCGCUGUAACAAUCGUAUCGUGAAACAUACUUGGACCGAUCAAGUAUUUUUCAUAUCUCAAGAUGAUAAAGCUCGGGUCCCUAUUGGAGUAACUGCGGCAAAUAAGCAAGCACCUAUUCUAAUGCACAUAGAAUAUAGAAUCAAAUUGCCUGAUCACGACUGGGUAAUCGCUGAGCGGCAUAAAUUAAUACCAUCAGUUUAUGCUGGUAUCAAAAUCAGUUCCAGUAUGCUAGGACAACCGCAAGCCGUCGGAUAUUCUGGAUCAAAAUACAUCGCUAUUCGAAGUGGAAAGCAUAGUUCAUCUACUACUAAUACUCAUGCCCAAAAUUUCAAGACGCUUUUCGAACUUGAAGAGUUUCGAGCAUUAGCUAAAACUGACCAAGGAUUGGUAAAACCAGUGGUAAUUAUGACGGUUUAUGGAGGACCACAUGAAAAUCCGCGUUAUCAAAAAGUUAUAGGGUUUGCUAUAUAAACAACACUUUAAGCGACAUGAUCUCGAUGCAUUGUUUUUAGCUACCAAUGCUCCCGAUAGAAGUGCGUACAACAGAAUAGAGCGCAGAAUGGCUCGUCUUAGUCGGGAAGUGGUUGGUUUGAUAUUGCCUCAUGACCAUUAUGGAUGAACGUGGCAUUAUGAUUAAUGAACAUUUAGAAAGGUCCAAUUCCAAGUUUGCAGGAAAUGUGUUAGCUGAGGUCUGGAGUUCAAUGGAUGAUGGAGGGCAACUUCUCAAUCUGCCAAUCAAUUUCGAACAUGCAAACCGUGUGGCAUUUAUCAUGCUUCUGUCAAGUCACUAAAUUGUCACAUCAAGAAGAUCCAUAAAAACACGUACACUGUUAUGAAAGUUGGCCUAUAAGAGUGGCUGCUCGUCGUGCCAAUGAACUGAUGUGCAUUAUUCAAAAUUUAGAGCACCAAAAUGUUAAAUGGCUCGAUAAGAAUGACGUAGACAUCCCAAAAUCGGAUGAAAGUCUUUGCACACACAACAUUGAGCAGCAUACAUCCAAUAUCAUCGAAAACUUAGAAUAAUGGAUUCGGAUGUCAUGGAUUGAAGACUGUGGAUUGGAAUUAAUAUGUAUACCAAAAAUUUAAGUUUUUUUGUUAGUAAUAUUACGAUUAUAACAUUUGUGCCUUACUAGGGCGGUUCAAUAAGUACCCACGUUUGAAGACAUAGGUCGUUUUUGAGGGAAGUUGGUGUUGUCAUCGUGUACGGCCAUCUAUCAAACGACGCCAAAACAAAUUUUAGAUUAAUUUUUAAGUUAGUUUGGAUUUGGCAGCUAUUCGAGUAAGAGGUGUUUCGUGAUUUUCGGUAAGAUGGAAAAAGUGCAGUAUUGUUCAGUAAUUCGCUUUUUGUUUUUGGAUGGGAAAAAAUGCGAGGAGAUAAAAGCAAAGUUGGAUGCUGUUUACGGGGACAUGUCGCCAUCUAUGACCAAAGUUAGAUAUUGAUUAAAUGAAUUUAAACGUUUAUGAACACUCGUUUUGGAUGAGGAGAGACCAGGACGCCCGGCAGAUGUGGUUAGCGAAGAAACCAUUGAAAAAAUCCACGACAUGAUUCUCGAUGAUCGACGAACUAAAGCGCGCGAAGUAGCUAAAGCAAUAGGUGUGUCGAUCGGAACAGCAAUUUAUGUUUUAUAUGCUAAGUUAGCGAUGAAAAAGUGGUCGACUCGAUGGGUGACGCGAAUGCUCACGGUGGACAACAACCCGAUGCGGCUGUUAACUUCGCAGCAUUGUUUGAAGCAAUUCAAGGGAGAUCUGAAGAACUUUUUGCGUCGAGUUGUCAUUAUUGACGAAGCCUGGAUUCGUCAUUACACACCAGAAACUACACAACAAUCAAGACAAUGGAUUUCUCCCGAUGCCAAGGAAGGCGAAUACGGUCCCAUCGGCUGGAAAGGUCAUGACGACGAUUGUUUUGGGACGCGAAGUCCGGGACGGGGUAAUACUACAGUAAGUUAUUGGACCGCUUCUUUAAAAAAUUGAAGGAGACACGGCCGCAUUUGGCGAAAAAAAGGUGUUGUUUUACAACGAUAAUGCACCAUCACAUUCAUUCGGAGUUGUCGCUGCCAAAUUGCAUGAUUUUUUUUUAUUGCUUAGAUGGGUGGACGAUCUCACAGCCCGCCUGGUGUUAAGUGGUUACUGGAGCCCAUACACAUCUACAACGUAAACGCGCCACCCACCUUGAGAUAUAAGUUCUAAGAUCUCAGUAUAGUUACAACGGCUGCUCCACCCUUCAAACCGAAACGCAUUACUGCUUCACGGCAGAAAUGGGCAGGGUGGUGGUACCUACCCGCGUGGGCUCACAAGAGGUCCUACCACCAGUAAAAAAUUGCUGCCGUACCCCCUUAUUCACCCGAUCUAACUCCAUGCAACUUCUUGUUCCCUAACAUGAAGGAUUGUCUCGCGGGAAAAAAAAUUUGUUCAAAUCAGGAAGUCAUCACCAAGAUAUAGGCGUAUUUUGGAGAGUUCAGCGAUUCGUAUUUUUUGAGGUGUUAAAAAAAUGGCAGAAACGUUGGGAGGAGGGUCUAAAGGGGGAUUGUGUUGAAAAAAAUAUAAUAAAUUUAAAAAAAAGGGUCUUCAUUUCUAACACGUGUACUUAUUGAACCGCCCUCAUACUCUAUGUUGAAUUCCGUGCCAAUAAAGUUUGUUUAAAUGAAUAUGAAGUGCGUUAAAGUCCGCUAUCCAAAGCCUAUUUUCUUAUUUCCAGAAUUAUAAUUGCUGCUCAUGAAUCAUUAAAAAAAUUAGAAUACAUUCGUAGAAAAAUACAUAUACCAAUCUUAACGUUAUCAUGGGAGACGGGGGGGGGGGGGGGGUCAGAACUUUGCUUACAUUUGCUGACAAGGGGAAAGGAGGUAUAAAUAAUUGUAAUAAAUCUGCUUAUGUAAUACGUAAACGGCCCCUUACUUGGAUUAUUAUUUAAAAGAGAAACUGCAUGUUUUCUAAUCUAUAACUCUGAGAAACUUAAUUUUUCUAGUCAGUGAGUAUUUUCCUUCUCAAUUCUCAUAAUAAUUAAAACUAAAUUAGCAAGUUUUUCAUAAACAACAAACAUCAAAGCAGCGGUCAUGACUGUUUGCAAAAGCUUGGCUUCCAGUCCACGGAACAUUGAAAUUGGUUUUGACUUAAUAUCUUUCACCAAUGUUUUCAAAUUAGUACCAGCACGAAGUCUAGAUUGAAUUACUUGCAAGGGGUAGGUUAGGAUUGUGGCUACAGAUUUUGCUGUAGCCCCAACUAAAAAUGAUGUGUAUGUAUGGAAUGAGCCUUGGGACAUAAAUGUUCGUUUUAGAGAUUCAUACACCAUAAACUGAAUAGCUGGAUUUGAAACCAGAAGUAGUGAAGGAACAGUGCCAGACCAGAGGCCUUUUGCGCCUUCAGUUCUUGCUAGUUCAAGGAGGCCUUCAAAUAAAUUUUUGUAAUUGUUUUUUUCCAACUUCAUUCUUGUGUUUACAACCCAUAGCGGUGAUGUUAAAAUAACAUUGAUACUUCCAGCAAUUAAACCAAAAAGUAGAUCAGGCAAUGCUGUUGUUGGCUGGGAAGAUAUAUUUCGUAAUGCAUGGAAUGAGUAAAAGUAAACAAAGUUGGAUACUGAAAUUGACUGUAAAACUGGUGAUAAACCUCUGUAAAGAGACUGAAUACCUUCUUCACUAGCUAGUUUUAUUAAUAAUCCCAGUGUCGAUCCUUGUAACUUCUUCGAAUCUUCAACUGAAAUAGUAUGUUAUGAAAAUUAUUAUUAGUAUUAUUUAAUCUUGACUAAUAUUAGUACCUAAUUAGAAUAAUUGACAUGGUUGAAAAUAAUAUUAGGCUGAUUACUUAGACAGAUUUCUUUCAUACCUUUAAAUAAGCAUUAUGUGUGCAUAAUUAAUAAGAUUAACUCUACUGUGAAUACUUAGUCUGGCCAUAAAUACUGUUACAAUUAAAAAUAAACAAAAUAUUACAUUUGAAUUUGGAAUCUGUCAUUUUUAUAUGAUUGCUCAUUGAGUUUUCUCAUUUUGGCGCCAAUACAUUGUACAAUAUUUUGCGAUAUUAAAAUGGAGUGGGGUGAUAAAGAGAACCGAAUUGCUGUGAUUGCAUUACACAAAGUAGGUAUGGAGCCAAAUGCAAUUUUUUAAACUCUCCAUACGCUUGGUAUUAGUAAAUGUUUGUGUACCGGGCUAUUAAUAGGUGCAAUGAGGCCUCCUCUGUUUGUGACAGAAAAAGAUCUGGCCGUCCACGUAGUGUUCGUAUGAAAAAGGUGGUCAAAGCAGUAAGGGAAAGAAUUCGAAGAAAUCCUGUUCGAAAGCAAAAGAUUUUAUCUCCGAAGAUGAAGAUAGCACCUAGAACCAUGUCGCGUAUUUUAAAAGAUGAUUUAGGACUUACAGCCUAUAAGAGACGUACUGGUAAUUUCUUAACUGAUAAUUUAAAAGAGAAUAGGGUGGUAAAAUUGAAACAACUACUGCGUGCGUACAACUAAGCGUGUACGUAAAGGGAGGUCAUAGGAAAAUUUUGUUUACGGAUGAGAAUUUUUUUACAUUUUAACAAACAAAGUGACCGUAUUUAUGCUCAAAGCUCUAAGGAAGCUUCCCAAUUAGUCGACAGAGUGCAACGUGGGCACUAUCCGACUUCAGUGAUGGUUUGGUGGGGUAUUAGCUAUUAAGGAGUGACUGAGCCAUACUUUUGUGAAAAAGGUAUCAAAACAUCGGCACAAGUGUAUCAAGAUACCAUUCUUGAGAAGGUAGUGAAGCCCCUUAACAACACCAUGUUCAAUAAUCAAGAAUGGUCCUUCCAGCAAGACUCGGCGCCAGGUCAUAAAGCUCGGUCUACGCAGUCUUGGUUGGAAACGAACGUUUCGGACUUCAUCAAAGCUGAAGACUGGCCGUCGUCUAGUCCCGAUCUUAAUCCGCUGGAUUAUGAUUUAUGUUCAGUUUUAGAGAGUACGGCUUGCUCUAAACGCCACGAUAAUUUGGAGUCCCUAAAACAAUCCGUACGAUUGGCAGUGAAAAUUUUUCCCAUGGAAAGAGUGCGUGCUUCUAUUGAUAACUGGCCUCAACGUUUAAAGGACUGUAUUGCAGCCAAUGGAGACCACUUCGAAUAAGCUUUUUAUACUUUAAAUUGUUUUAUAUUUAUGUAUUAAACUAACACACUGUAAAAGUAAUAAAUGUUAUUUGCAAUA
Long non-coding RNA from Bombyx mori (domestic silkworm), 13828 nucleotides. RefSeq annotates it as nuclear pore complex protein Nup160 homolog. The transcript has 27 exons. NCBI's taxonomy places the organism in Eukaryota, Metazoa, Arthropoda, Insecta, Lepidoptera, Bombycidae. The record is from RefSeq and is a predicted model, not a curated record.